Molecule: ribosomal RNA, 424 nt
Filed under: uncultured prokaryote
Also listed under: 1 other name
Description: bacterial SSU rRNA
Rfam family: Bacterial small subunit ribosomal RNA
Source: RNAcentral
UGAGGAAUAUUGGACAAUGGGCGCAAGCCUGAUCCAGCCAUGCCGCGUGCAGGAAGACGGCCCUAUGGGUUGUAAACUGCUUUUAUACGGGAAGAAACACCCCCUCGUGAGGGGGCUUGACGGUACCGUAAGAAUAAGGAUCGGCUAACUCCGUGCCAGCAGCCGCGGUAAUACGGAGGAUCCAAGCGUUAUCCGGAAUCAUUGGGUUUAAAGGGUCCGUAGGUGGACGAUUAAGUCGGAGGUGAAAUCCUGCAGCUCAACUGUAGAAUGGCCUUUGAUACUGGUUGUCUUGAAUCAUUGUGAAGUGGUUAGAAUAUGUGGUGUAGCGGUGAAAUGCAUAGAUAUCACAUAGAAUACCGAUUGCGAAGGCAGAUCACUAACAAUGUAUUGACACUGAUGGACGAAAGCGUGGGGAGCGAACAGG